This 123-nucleotide small RNA is filed under the name Yersinia entomophaga. RNAcentral's name for it is "RtT sRNA". It matches the Rfam family "RtT RNA". Rfam says of the family: This family represents a bacterial cis-regulatory element known as RtT RNA. The exact function of RtT is unknown although it is thought that it may be involved in changing the cellular response in relation to amino acid starvation. The record is from RNAcentral. Lineage: Bacteria; Pseudomonadati; Pseudomonadota; Gammaproteobacteria; Enterobacterales; Yersiniaceae.
UACUGUUUCAAAUCGUAGGGAUGAGAACCGUGAAGGUUCGAGCCGAACGAAGUGAGACAGCAACGCGAAGGCGUUGCCCCGUAAGGGUGAGUCCGCAGGACGAAUCAUCCCGCACUUUCACCA